RNAcentral lists this ribosomal RNA (850 nucleotides) under Vibrio parahaemolyticus. RNAcentral's name for it is "partial 23S ribosomal RNA". It matches the Rfam family "Bacterial large subunit ribosomal RNA", at positions 1308 to 2141 of the family's 2925-position model. The record is from RNAcentral. Lineage: Bacteria; Pseudomonadati; Pseudomonadota; Gammaproteobacteria; Vibrionales; Vibrionaceae.
AACGAUAAAGGGGGUGAAAAACCUCCUCGCCGGAAGACCAAGGGUUCCUGUCCAACGUUAAUCGGGGCAGGGUAAGUCGACCCCUAAGGCGAGGCCGAAAGGCGUAGUCGAUGGGAAACGGGUUAAUAUUCCCGUACUUCUUACAAUUGCGAUGGGGGGACGGAGAAGGCUAGGUGGGCCUGGCGACGGUUGUCCAGGUUCAAGUGCGUAGGCUUAAGAGUUAGGUAAAUCCGGCUCUUUCUAAGGCUGAGACACGACGUCGAGCACCUACGGGUGUGAAGUCAUUGAUGCCAUGCUUCCAGGAAAAGCCUCUAAGCUUCAGAUUGUAAGGAAUCGUACCCCAAACCGACACAGGUGGUCGGGUAGAGAAUACCAAGGCGCUUGAGAGAACUCGGGUGAAGGAACUAGGCAAAAUGGUACCGUAACUUCGGGAGAAGGUACGCUCUCGACGGUGAAGUCCCUUGCGGAUGGAGCUAUUGAGAGUCGCAGAUACCAGGUGGCUGCAACUGUUUAUUAAAAACACAGCACUGUGCAAAAUCGUAAGAUGACGUAUACGGUGUGACGCCUGCCCGGUGCCGGAAGGUUAAUUGAUGGGGUUAGACUUCGGUCGAAGCUCUUGAUCGAAGCCCCGGUAAACGGCGGCCGUAACUAUAACGGUCCUAAGGUAGCGAAAUUCCUUGUCGGGUAAGUUCCGACCUGCACGAAUGGCGUAAUGAUGGCCACGCUGUCUCCACCCGAGACUCAGUGAAAUUGAAAUCGCUGUGAAGAUGCAGUGUACCCGCGGCUAGACGGAAAGACCCCGUGAACCUUUACUACAGCUUGGCACUGAACAUUGACCCUACAUGUGUAG